This 496-nucleotide long non-coding RNA is filed under the name Pan troglodytes (chimpanzee). RNAcentral describes it as "long non-coding RNA NONPTRT013824". The record is from RNAcentral. Lineage: Eukaryota; Metazoa; Chordata; Mammalia; Primates; Hominidae.
CAACAACCCCCAAACCCAGUCCUCACCUCCCACAUGCUUUUCAUCACCCGCUCUCACAUCCCAUCUGGGGCCUCUGCUUCCAUCCUACCAUUUCGCAAGCCUGGCCAACUCAAGCUCCGUGUGCUGCACCUAGAGCAGCCCAUCUCUGUGUCAGCUACCUGCUCUCACUCUUCUGUUAUCUUCAACCCAUCUUCUUUGCCCUAAACUCCUAGGCUCCCCCACCUACAUUCCACCACAUUGAAGGGCUUACCUGCAUGGUGCCAGUAAAGGAGAACUGCAAUCCAAGCAAAUGUGGUGGGUGUGAAGCUUUCAAGAAGUUGGGUCAAGAACAAGGACUGAAAGAGGAGCAUCAAUUUAUGGGGGCCACUGAGGCUUUCAGAGAUUUUGUGACCUACCAAACCGGCACAGCUAGUAAAUGGAUGACAAGGUAGGUUCAAACCCAGGACUCCUGAUCCGCAGGCGGAGAUCUACUAUAGAACACUGUUUCUUUCUGACC